AGUUUCCUUUUAAUAUACAUACUUGUUUAUAUUUUGACUUAUUAUAUCGAGAUAGCCUUUUUGUGUAUAAUUUCCCUCAUCGAGUCUUUGUCCUUGACAGUCUAUAAUAUUCCACAAGUGUAAAUAUAGGUAUAUAUGUAUAUAGAAAAUUGUUAAGUCAACCUACCUUUUGCUAAAUCAACUCAUUUAAAUAAGAAUCAUGCACAAGAAAUGCAGCACCCUCGUACAAAUUAUAAUUCCAGCUAAUAAACAAACAAACUAACAAGCUAGUGGAUUGGCGGGGGGGGGGAGUUUUUUUAGUUCGUUUGUUUUCUGGUGUAGGUGGCCUUCGACAGCAACUGCUCAUCAUCUUAUCCUAUCACUCAGCCUCAGCCGUCAAUCUCCCACUACCAACGGCAUGGAAUCGCCUUCGGGACGAUCUUUGCCUCAAUCCCGUCACGCUUGGCAUUGACACUCUUGAGAAUUCCCUACUGCUGGAAUCUGCCACAGCUGCUGUUGGGUUUGCCUCUGGGUUUGGGUUUUGGCUCGCGGCUCUGUGUUCGGAAGGACUCAAUUUGGUGGCGUGGCCAGUCCAUGGCUUAAUCCCGAAUUCGUUAGUCUCCCUUGCGAGAGAGGACUUUCCAAGGGUUGGGAGUUGCAAUGCAAUCCAUGGCAUGCGCGAGGUCGCUUGUGUACCAUGUGGGUGUCGUGGGAGGAUGCCCGCGUCGCGAGACGGGAAGCGCCAGGAAUUUGAGGGGUUGUGGAAUUUGGAAUGGUGGUGGGAUUAUGUGGAAGGCUGUGGAGCAGGACAAGGAGACGGGUGUUUCGAGUCGGCGACAAAUUGUUGCGCAGAGUGCCAGUGGGAGAGGUAGAGGAGACAGGAAUUGGGGUCCACAACGAAAA
RNAcentral lists this long non-coding RNA (882 nucleotides) under Physcomitrium patens. RNAcentral describes it as "long non-coding RNA (PPAT_LNC014907)". Lineage: Eukaryota; Viridiplantae; Streptophyta; Bryopsida; Funariales; Funariaceae. The record is from RNAcentral.